GAUGAAGAACGUAGCGAAAUGCGAUACUUGGUGUGAAUUGCAGAAUCCCGUGAACCAUCGAGUCUUUGAACGCAAGUUGCGCCUCAAGCCAUUAGGUCGAGGGCACGUCUGCCUGGGCGUCACAUAUCGUUGCCUGAUGCCAGUUUCCUCGUGAUGGGUGACUGUGCAGGGCGAAUGAUGGCUUCCCGUGAGCAUUGUUGCCUCAUGGUUGGUUGAAAAUUGAGUCCUUGGUAGGGAGCGCCGUGAUAGAUGGUGGUUGAGUGACGAACGAGACCCAAUCAUGUGAGACCCCUACCGAAUUUGGCCUUCAUGACCCACAUGCGUCUUUGGAACGCUCAUGACGAGACCUCAGGUCAGGCGGGGCUACCCGCUGAGUUUAAGCAUAUCAAUAAGCGGAGGA
RNAcentral lists this unclassified non-coding RNA (400 nucleotides) under soil metagenome. RNAcentral describes it as "partial contains 5.8S ribosomal RNA, internal transcribed spacer 2, and large subunit ribosomal RNA". The stretch from base 1 to 122 matches the Rfam family "5.8S ribosomal RNA", at positions 35 to 154 of the family's 154-position model. The record is from RNAcentral.